RNAcentral lists this ribosomal RNA (584 nucleotides) under uncultured bacterium. RNAcentral describes it as "bacterial SSU rRNA". It matches the Rfam family "Bacterial small subunit ribosomal RNA", at positions 338 to 915 of the family's 1533-position model. The record is from RNAcentral.
CCUACGGGAGGCAGCAGUGGGGAAUCUUGGACAAUGGGCGCAAGCCUGAUCCAGCAAUGCCGCGUGGGUGAAGAAGGCCUGCGGGUUGUAAAGCCCUUUCGGUGGGGAGGAACGGUCUGGUGCUAAUAUCGCUGGGCGUUGCCGUUACCCACAGAAGAAGCACCGGCCAACUCCGUGCCAGCAGCCGCGGUAAUACGGAGGGUGCGAGCGUUAAUCGGAAUUACUGGGCGUAAAGGGCGCGUAGGUGGUGCGUUGAGUCAGCUGUGAAAGCCCUGGGCUUAACCUGGGAAUGGCAGUUGAUACUGCUCAGCUUGAGGACAGUUGAGGAGAAUGGAAUUCCCGGUGGAGCGGUGAAAUGCGUAGAUAUCGGGAGGAACACCAGAGGCGUAGGCGAUUCUCUAAGCUGCUCCUGACACUGAGACACGAAAGCUAGGGGAGCAAACGGGAUUAGAUACCCCGGUAGUCCUAGCCGUAAACGAUGGACGCUAGAUGUUCCUGCGUUUAUGCGGGAGUGUCGAAGCUAACGCGUUAAGCGUCCCGCCUGGGGAGUACGGUCGCAAGGCUGAAACUUAAAGGAAUUGACG